GAUGAACGCUGGCGGCGUGCCUAAUACAUGCAAGUCGAGCGAACGGACGAGAAGCUUGCUUCUCUGAUGUUAGCGGCGGACGGGUGAGUAACACGUGGAUAACCUACCUAUAAGACUGGGAUAACUUCGGGAAACCGGAGCUAAUACCGGAUAAUAUUUUGAACCGCAUGGUUCAAAAGUGAAAGACGGUCUUGCUGUCACAUAUAGAUGGAUCCGCGCUGCAUUAGCUAGUUGGUAAGGUAACGGCUUACCAAGGCAACGAUGCAUAGCCGACCUGAGAGGGUGAUCGGCCACACUGGAACUGAGACACGGUCCAGACUCCUACGGGAGGCAGCAGUAGGGAAUCUUCCGCAAUGGGCGCAAGCCUGACGGAGCAACGCCGCGUGAGUGAUGAAGGUCUUCGGAUCGUAAAACUCUGUUAUUAGGGAAGAACAUAUGUGUAAGUAACUGUGCACAUCUUGACGGUACCUAAUCAGAAAGCCACGGCUAACUACGUG
This 497-nucleotide ribosomal RNA is filed under the name uncultured bacterium. RNAcentral's name for it is "partial 16S ribosomal RNA". It matches the Rfam family "Bacterial small subunit ribosomal RNA", at positions 28 to 507 of the family's 1533-position model. The record is from RNAcentral.